UGGGGAAUCUUGCGCAAUGGGCGAAAGCCUGACGCAGCCAUGCCGCGUGAAUGAUGAAGGUCUUAGGAUUGUAAAAUUCUUUCACCGGGGACGAUAAUGACGGUACCCGGAGAAGAAGCCCCGGCUAACUUCGUGCCAGCAGCCGCGGUAAUACGAAGGGGGCUAGCGUUGCUCGGAAUUACUGGGCGUAAAGGGAGCGUAGGCGGACUGUUAAGUUAGAGGUGAAAGCCCAGGGCUCAACCUUGGAAUUGCCUUUGAUACUGGCAGUCUUGAGUACGGAAGAGGUAUGUGGAACUCCGAGUGUAGAGGUGAAAUUCGUAGAUAUUCGGAAGAACACCAGUGGCGAAGGCGACAUACUGGUCCGUUACUGACGCGGAGGCUCGAAAGCGUGGGGAGCAAACAGG
Molecule: ribosomal RNA, 404 nt
Filed under: Bacillota bacterium
Lineage: Bacteria; Bacillati; Bacillota
Description: Firmicutes bacterium partial 16S ribosomal RNA
Rfam family: Bacterial small subunit ribosomal RNA
Source: RNAcentral